This 788-nucleotide long non-coding RNA is filed under the name Chinchilla lanigera (long-tailed chinchilla). RNAcentral describes it as "lncRNA (ENSCLAG00000026212.1)". Lineage: Eukaryota; Metazoa; Chordata; Mammalia; Rodentia; Chinchillidae. The record is from RNAcentral.
UCGGCGCGGCGGCCAUGUUCGUCGCGUCCGCGUGGCUCUGCUGCGCGCCCGACGCCCGGGCUGCCCCGCGCCUCUUGGCCCUUGAGUUACACGCGAAUACUGUUAUUUUCAUCUUCGUGUUUUAUCGGAGUCUUUUAAAAAUAUCAGCUUACAUUCUCAGGUUCAUGUUUUCCUUUACUUUCUUGGUGAUGAGCAUAUUUGAAGUUUUAAUGGUCUUGUCUGCUAAGGCAUCAUUUCUACAAUUUUUGGUGCUGUUUCUGUUGAUCAGUUUUUUAAUGGUUUUCUUUGUAUGCCUGGUAAUUUUUGACUAAAUACCUAACAUUGUUAUUCUACAUUGUUGGUCCAUCAACUGAUGAAUGGAUAAAGAAGAUGUGAUUUUUUUUCUAUAAUGGACUGUUACUGAGCCACAAAGAAGGGUAAACUUGAGACAUUUCUAGGUAAAUGUAUGCACCUGAGGUCAUAUUCUUAAGUGAAGUAAAUUGAUCACACAUGUAUAAAUAUCGUACUGGCUGUUGUGAGAAAAUGAAAGUGUAAAUAAGGAUCUAAAUGUAUAGUAGAUAUUGUGAAAUAGGAAAAAUUGUUAAAAAGGAAAGAGGAAUGGAGGAAGGGAGGGAAAAGAAUAAAAUGAGAAAAGAAAAAUAAAAUGGAAACGAAGCUUUUUAAAUAAGGAGGGGAAGAGGGACUGAAGGGAGGGCAAGUGAAUGGGAAAAAGUAGGAAGCAAGAUAUAUCAUGUACAGGUACAAACUCCCUAUGAUGAAGGUGAUCAUUAUGUUUACCUAAAUUGUAC